RNAcentral lists this ribosomal RNA (497 nucleotides) under uncultured bacterium. Its description in RNAcentral is "partial 16S ribosomal RNA". It matches the Rfam family "Bacterial small subunit ribosomal RNA", at positions 28 to 507 of the family's 1533-position model. The record is from RNAcentral.
GAUGAACGCUGGCGGCGUGCCUAAUACAUGCAAGUCGAGCGAACAGACGAGGAGCUUGCUCCUCUGACGUUAGCGGCGGACGGGUGAGUAACACGUGGAUAACCUACCUAUAAGACUGGGAUAACUUCGGGAAACCGGAGCUAAUACCGGAUAAUAUAUUGAACGGCAUGGUUCAAUAGUGAAAGACGGUUUUGCUGUCACUUAUAGAUGGAUCCGCGCCGCAUUAGCUAGUUGGUAAGGUAACGGCUUACCAAGGCAACGAUGCGUAGCCGACCUGAGAGGGUGAUCGGCCACACUGGAACUGUGACACGGUCCAGACUCCUACGGGAGGCAGCAGUAGGGAAUCUUCCGCAAUGGGCGAAAGCCUGACGGAGCAACGCCGCGUGAGUGAUGAAGGUCUUCGGAUCGUAAAACUCUGUUAUUAGGGAAGAACAAAUGUGUAAGUAACUAUGCACGUCUUGACGGUACCUAAUCAGAAAGCCACGGCUAACUACGUG